RNAcentral lists this transfer RNA (106 nucleotides) under Epichloe festucae Fl1. RNAcentral describes it as "tRNA-Ile". It matches the Rfam family "tRNA". Rfam says of the family: Transfer RNA (tRNA) molecules are approximately 80 nucleotides in length. The record is from RNAcentral. Lineage: Eukaryota; Fungi; Ascomycota; Sordariomycetes; Hypocreales; Clavicipitaceae.
GUUCCCGUAGCGGAGUGGUUACCGCGUGACUCUUAUACGCUAAGGGCUUUUCUUUGGUGCUAUGUUAGAAAUGUCAAGGUCCGGGGUUCGACCCCCCGCGGGAACA